RNAcentral lists this ribosomal RNA (502 nucleotides) under uncultured bacterium. RNAcentral describes it as "partial 16S ribosomal RNA". It matches the Rfam family "Bacterial small subunit ribosomal RNA", at positions 28 to 507 of the family's 1533-position model. The record is from RNAcentral.
GACGAACGCUGGCGGCGUGCUUAACACAUGCAAGUCGAACGGUGAAGGGGUCUGCUUUUGUGGGCCCUGGAUGAGUGGCGAACGGGUGAGUAACACGUGAGUAACCUGCCCCCUUCUUCUGGAUAACCGCAUGAAAGUGUGGCUAAUACGGGAUAUUCUGGGUCUGUCGCAUGAUGGGUCUGGGAAAGAUUGCGCCUUUGGGUGUUUUUGGUGGGGGAUGGGCUCGCGGCCUAUCAGCUUGUUGGUGGGGUGAUGGCCUACCAAGGCGGUGACGGGUAGCCGGCCUGAGAGGGUGGACGGUCACACUGGGACUGAGACACGGCCCAGACUCCUACGGGAGGCAGCAGUGGGGAAUAUUGCACAAUGGGCGCAAGCCUGGUGCAGCGACGCCGCGUGAGGGAUGGAGGCCUUCGGGUUGUAAACCUCUUUCGCCAGUGAAGCAGGCCUGCUCCUUGUGGGUGGGUUGACGGUAGCUGGAUAAGAAGCGCCGGCUAACUACGUG